AUGAAAGGGAAGGGGAUUGUAGUUACGACGUAAGGAACAUAUCCGAUAUCAUUUGUGAAACGGUUAUUCCAUAACGGUCAACCAACUCGUGAUGGCGUCCGUAAAAUUUACGAAGGGAUGAUUUCAACUUCACCAUUUGGAACUCUUGGUUUAAUAGCUUCCUUGUGAGCAGUAACCCUCUAUCAAGAAAAUCAUUAUAGGAAAUGCAAGCACGGGAAUAUCGUAUCAAUUGCACAUAGGCCAAGGUGAGCAAC
RNAcentral lists this long non-coding RNA (254 nucleotides) under Mytilus galloprovincialis (Mediterranean mussel). The record is from RNAcentral. Lineage: Eukaryota; Metazoa; Mollusca; Bivalvia; Mytilida; Mytilidae.